Long non-coding RNA from Leguminivora glycinivorella, 3107 nucleotides. RefSeq lists it as uncharacterized. Lineage: Eukaryota; Metazoa; Arthropoda; Insecta; Lepidoptera; Tortricidae. The transcript is spliced from 4 exons. The record is from RefSeq and is a predicted model, not a curated record.
AAUCUAUAGAUUGCAAACUAUCUCGUGUAUUUUUUUGAAAAUUUUACGCUUAGUAGUUUCGGAGAUAAGGGUAAAUAUAUAUAUAAUUAUACAAGUAAAAAAAGUUCUAUGAGCAGGAGGUGUGCCUCAAAUGUCAUAAUACAAACUUUUAAAGUAUAUUCUUUAAACAUAAUUACGUUCCUUAUAUAUUUAUAUUUUGAAUAACAAUAAAAAUCUUAUCUUAUGGACUAAUUCGUAACUAAUUUAACAAAUUCAGAGUGCGUUUUCUUGGAUAAUUUCUAGUUUACUUCGUAUUAUACCAUAUCUGAAAGGUAAUUUCUUUACGAUUCCUGUGAAACAAUGAAAAUGUAGACGUGUCUCCAAACAUCUACUUUACCAGGAAUUAAGUUGAUGCGGUAUUAGUUACCUGGCAUUGGUUACUUUUGGAUAGAGAAAUCUACAGCAAAAAAUGCUGAAAGAAUCUGUUAGCAGAUUUUUUUUAAUAAUACGAUCUUUCAACUUUAUUCUGACAAUAGCUUGAUGUUGUCCAUGAUAUUUAUGUAGAAGCCAGCAGCUUGCUAAAGCCAGUGCUCUCGAGUACGGGACGAAAGACUUGAUUUAACGAAGUCCCACAGUAUUGACCCAUUAACCGGUAUAGAAUGUAGUGUCCAAGAAAUUCGUUCAUUGAAAUGACACCCACGAUGAGCAACCAAAAUAUUUUAAAAAACGUACCGCGUACGGUACUUGCUUUACGGUCGUUCCAGAAAAAUUAUUUAGCUUGAUUCUAGUUUGAAAUUUGAAAUUUUAGAGUAUUUCGAAAAAUCGGGACAUUUUCUAAUUUGUCGGGAUUCGGGAACACAUGUUAAAAAUCGGGAGAAUCCCGCCGAAUCCCGACCGUCUGGCAACCCUAGGUGCGAGCUGCGACGCUGCGAGUGCGCCACCAGUCCGCCAUCUUUCUUACCUUUUUGAUGGUUGUUGACUUGUAAAUUUUGUAAUUAGUUUUUGCCGACGUCCGUUUUUUAAGUAAUUUUUGGUAUUUUACAAAUUGUGUUACUUUAGUGGACACGUGGAGACAUGGACGCUGACUGUUGGAAGAAUUCGUCAAUUCAGACUGGCGCAAAGAGCUAUCAGGGCGCGAUGCCAGGAAUUUCAUUGCGAGACAGAAUUCGAAAUGAGGAUAUUCGCCAACGCAAUAAAGUUACCGACAUUGCAAAAAGGAUUAACUCAAGUGGGAAUGGACCGGCUAUAUUUUUCGCAGAGAUGACGAUCAAUGGGGUCGCCUAGUAUUGCUGUGGAGACCUAGCCUGGGUGGCCGAGGUGGCGGGAAACCACGAGCAGAUGGUCGGAUGACACAUAUAGAACGGAGUGGAAACCCACGGAAUGCAGACCAGGAUCAUAUACUUUAGGUAUGAGUUUGUUACUUUUGCUCAUAAUAACAUGGAGUAUGUCACGGCUGCUCCACGGGCUGCAUUGAAGGGCAACAGGAGCGAAAAUGUUAAAAUGGAAAGGAGCUCCCCCUUUCAAUUAGGGAAUCUUAGGAUAUGCUAAGGCAAACAGAAGGAGGCAAGGAACGGGACUGCAUCAAUUGCUGUCUGGAACCAAUCUUGUGGGAUGACUUCUGGACAGGGAAAAACAAUUUCAUCAUCUACCCUAAUACUGACGAAUGUUCUAAAACGUGCUGUAAGGCAGACAUUUCCAAAUGUAACGGAGGAAAGUUUCGAGACAUGUAAUGGUUUCAACAUGCUGCUGAGACCCAACUCAAGAGACGUCAGUUUGUACUGUUUAGUCCAUUCUCUAUUGGGCAUGCUUGUAUAGAGAGGUAUAUAUAUAUAUAUUGGAGUACAGACAUGGUGUUUGGUAUGAGUAUUAUAUACAUCCUUUUGAGUCAAAUAGGACCGGUAGCCACUUUGAACUCCGUGUCCGAAAGGGUCAAAGUAUGGAGCUCCCGGUACUCAGAAAAAAAUUCUGGCCUAUUAGUUUUGAACUUUCGAGUCAAGUUUGGUGUCAUUUUUAAACUGUUCGCUUCGUUUUUAAAUUGAAGAAGAUUAAAAAUCACAGUAAUAUUAUAAAGGCAAAAGUUUGUGAGCAUACCGUGUUUGUUACUUCCUCACGCCACGCCCAAGUGCCUUAACAAAUAUUAUUUAUAAAAUUAAGUAUGGAGGAAGUACGAUAUACCCUAAGUUAACACGUCGCUUCUUCUUGAUCGUGGGUAACACUCGGGGCGCAGUAUAAUGAUUAUUAAAAAUCUUUAUGCUGUCCCCUAUGCUGCGAUGGCGAUCGUUGCAGUACUUUCAAUAUUUUUUUUACAUCAAAUAUUAGAAUCAUCAAAGAUUACUAAUAAAAUAGGCUUUUUAGAAAUAUUUUUUAAAAAUCAUGAUUAGUAUAAAAAUACGGAAAUAUGAGGAUUUGUUUGCAUUUCGUGGCUACUAAAAAUUCAUUAUUAAUAAAUAUUGUGCUAUAUUUUGCUAUGGAACCCUAAAAAAGUAGUUACAUAAAAAUGACACUAAAAUUGACUCAAAGCUCAAACUAAUCGGCCAGAAUUUUUUCUGAGCAGCAGGAGCUCCAUACUUUGACCCCCUCUCCCCCUUCGGACACGGAGUUCAAAGUGGCUACCGGUCUUGUUUGACUCGGGAGGACGUGUAUAAUACCCAUGUAGAUGUAGAUGUAGUGUAGGGACGCCUGGCCGGAUACAGGCGGGCUGUCGAUCGCUGGUGCGUUCAUUCAGCCCAAUUCCCUGGAGUUGGAGCUGCAGGUUACUGUCCCGGCUGCCCUCCCACACUUCUCUCCUCAAAUUUUCUUGUUUUCCUGCAGAACAUAAUACCCAUACUAAACGCCAAUGCUCUACUCAAAAAUUCACUUUUUCCCAAUAGAGAACGGACUGUGUUAGACAGUGCAUGUUGUUACACGGUAAAUUUUUCUAGAAGACCAAAUUUAUAAGUUCCUUAGUUAUUCUAUUUUUAACUAAAUAAGUUCUUGUACUAUAAGCAGUAAUCGGAAUAGGCAGAGUAGAUAUAUUUAUUUUUAAACGAAAUGACUUCCUUGCGAUAGUAUUUUUUCAGUACAGAUGGUAUUUUUUUUACGCACUAGUGCGAGAAGUGGUUCAUUAUACGCCAGGUCGAAACUUCGGA